UACGGAGGAUCCAAGCGUUAUCCGGAAUCAUUGGGUUUAAAGGGUCCGUAGGCGGGCAGCUCAGUCAGUGGUGAAAGUUUGCGGCUUAACCGUAAAAUUGCCAUUGAUACUGGUUGUCUUGAAUUAAUGUGAAGUGGUUAGAAUGAGUAGUGUAGCGGUGAAAUGCAUAGAUAUUACUCAGAAUACCGAUUGCGAAGGCA
RNAcentral lists this ribosomal RNA (200 nucleotides) under uncultured bacterium. RNAcentral's name for it is "partial 16S ribosomal RNA". It matches the Rfam family "Bacterial small subunit ribosomal RNA", at positions 524 to 723 of the family's 1533-position model. The record is from RNAcentral.